Molecule: long non-coding RNA, 1558 nt
Filed under: Homo sapiens (human)
Lineage: Eukaryota; Metazoa; Chordata; Mammalia; Primates; Hominidae
Description: HSALNT0290903
Source: RNAcentral
UGAGGUAGAAGAAUGACUUGAACCUGGGAAGCAGAGGCUGCAGUGAGCCAAGAUUGCAUCACUACGCUCUAGCCUGGGUGACACGGUGAGACUCUGUCUCAAAAGAGAGAGAGAAAAAGAAAAGAAUAGGAAUGUAGGACUCAGCAACUAGACCAUUCCCAACCUCCUUCUCUGUGAGGCCCUUCUCCUUGAGUGAGAAAACACUGAAUGAGCUGAUGUCUAAGGAUGCUUUGAGCCCUGUCAUUUUAGAAAUCAAUACAUACUUCCGGGAACUGGAGGAUUUAGUUUGGGAAAGUAAAGGUUCCUUGCACUGUGACUAGCUCACCCUGUCACCUUGCUUAAGCACCUUGCCCACUCUAGACCUCAGUUUUCCCAUCUAGAAACUGGAAGCACUGGACUUGGUUGUCCAAGUCCUUCUAGCUUUGAAACUCUAGGCCUCUGCCCUGGUAAGGUUGUGGGAAAAGAAGACCCAGGGAGGCGUAUAUGGGGGCAAGGGGUCAGGGACAGCAAGAAUAAGGUGAUUUUCAGAGAUUCUAUCCAGGAACAAUCCAAGAAGCAACUCAGGUAGGACUGAGGGUUGUAUGAAGCAAUAAGACUCCACAUUCAAAUCAAUUAAAGAGGUCAUGGCCACAGUUUCUGUGUUAGAAAGAAUAGGAGGAGAACUAGGGAAUUGUAUUAUGUGGGACUGUAUUUCGUGGGAUAGAUGGAUAGAUAGACAGACGGGUGGACAGAUGGGUAGAUGGAUAGAUGAAUGGAUUAACAGAUGAACAGAUGGAUAGAUGGAUAAGUGGAUAGAAGCUUGGGUGGACAUAUGGAUGAAUUGGAUGGAUGGAUGGAUGGAUGGAUGGAUGGAUGGACAGAUGGAUGAAAGCUUGGGUGGAUGAAUAGAUGGAUAGACAGCUGAAUGAAAGUUUGGGUAGAAGAAUGGAUAGACAGAUGAAUGGAAGGUUGGGUGGAUAAGUAGAUGAAUGGACAGGUGAAUGGAAGGUUGGGUGGACAGAUGGCUGAAUGAAUGGGUGGAUGGAUAGAUAAAUGGACAAUGAAUGGAUGGACAGGCAGGUAGAUGGAGGAAAGGAUGGGGAAUGUUUAGGAAAGUGGUUUGGUGGAGAGAGUGGGUACAUAUAUUUGGCAGGUGGGAAGAUGCUCAGAUAGAGGGGCAGGCAGAUACAAGUGGGUAAGUAGAUGGGUUUGUGAAUGGGCAGGCAGAUAAACAGAAAGGUCAGUGGGUGUAUGGGCAGGCAGGUGUAUGCCCAGGUGAUUGGAUGGGUGGAUGAGUGGAUGAGUAGGUUUUACAAUGUAAGGGAGUGAGAGGACAAAACUUGACUGAUUGAUUGAUUGGCUUGUUCGUUUUCUUAGCUAUUACCUCAUUUCCUCUUCCAUAUCCUACUCCUAUUCAGCCAGACACCUGAAAAGUUUACAGCAAGUUUCUCUAUGUGUGGAAAUUGUACCAUUUAUAAGAUUAUUUGGCCUGGUGUGGUGGCUCACGCCUGUAAUCCCAGCACUUUGGGAGGCCGAGGCGGGUGGAUCACCUGAGGCCAGGAGUUCAAGACCAGCCUGG